GAUGAACGCUGGCGGCGUGCCUAAUACAUGCAAGUCGAGCGAACAGACGAGGAGCUUGCUCCUCUGACGUUAGCGGCGGACGGGUGAGUAACACGUGGAUAACCUACCUAUAAGACUGGGAUAACUUCGGGAAACCGGAGCUAAUACCGGAUAACAUGUUGAACCGCAUGGUUCAACAGUGAAAGACGGUCUUGCUGUCACUUAUAGAUGGAUCCGCGCCGCAUUAGCUAGUUGUUAAGUUAACGGCUUACCAAGGCAACGAUGCGUAGCCGACCUGAGAGGGUGAUCGGCCACACUGGAACUGAGACACGGUCCAGACUCCUACGGGAGGCAGCAGUAGGGAAUCUUCCGCAAUGGGCGAAAGCCUGACGGAGCAACGCCGCGUGAGUGAAGAAGGUCUUCGGAUCGUAAAACUCUGUUAUUAGGGAAGAACAAAUGUGUAAGUAACUAUGCACGUCUUGACGGUACCUAAUCAGAAAGCCACGGCUAACUACGUG
RNAcentral lists this ribosomal RNA (497 nucleotides) under uncultured bacterium. RNAcentral's name for it is "partial 16S ribosomal RNA". It matches the Rfam family "Bacterial small subunit ribosomal RNA", at positions 28 to 507 of the family's 1533-position model. The record is from RNAcentral.